CUUUUUGUCACAAUUUUAACUUGGAGCGAAAUUUGACUCGACGCUGGGCCUGUACCCGAGGCGAACAAGCCACUUGUUUGGGUGAACUCAACGGAAGAAAUAAUAAAGGCACAGGGUGAAGCGAAGGCCGACCUGGAGGAGCUGGCUCGCGACGGCACCAGGUGAAGAAGUGACCGGCGGCCGAUGCUUGGGCGUGGAGGGUCUGGCUCGCUGACGAGGCUUACCGAAGCCACCUCCGCGGCCGCCGCUCCGGCUAAGACAUGAGUAUGACCGCGUCAAGGACGAGGGUGACGCAGGCGUAGCGCGAGUUGGCGCACGACGAGCGAGAAGGGGGAGGGGGUAUAGACUAAGACCAGAGUGAGGUGGGAGCAGCAAGGAGACUAAUGCAGCUCAUUUGACCUAGUACUGAAAGGACGUCCAUAGCUAAUACUCAUGUUCCGCCACUUGGAGGAGUUCCCGCUCGUCAGACUAGGGCUCAAGUACUUCGAAUUAGGAUACUUCAAGCAGGGACGGAACCAGCUGCCGCUGUGUCACUAACCACUGAGCAUGCGUUAUCGUAACAUAAACCUCCUGUUCAUGGGAGUCGCAGGAGAAAACGGGGUUCUGGAAUUUUUCUUCCGGGACUUAUAGGUCUAUCGUUCGUAGCACACGAGACCAUAAGUUGGAGAAGUGUUAGAGUGGAACCACUCUAAAUAGCUCGUUUUCCAACCUUGUCCCCUCUCGUAGGGCACCCAGGUUGUUGUCUAACUAUCUCCAAAGUGUCGACAACUCUUGUACUAGUUUCCGACACGACCCUUCAAACGAUACCCUCUACUUCAGGUUGACCGUCUACAUAAGGAACGUGGGGUCUAAAAACGACGCCACUGAGCAAUAGUCUAACUGUACAGCUUGAUAGGGUGCGAGCGCUCCGAGGUGCUAGUCAUAUACUGUGUGGGACGUAAACUUCGACGCGAGGGACUGGCCGUCGGCCUACGGGGAAGGAGACGGAUCUGUAUCCGGCCCCCACUUAGUCAUCAAGAGUGAGGAAACAGACAUGGACACAGGACAGGGCAAUGAAGUUUGAGAUUGUUAUUCGUGUCUUCAAGGACUUGCUUCACAUUUCACCGAUGACAUCAGACAUAGUUUUGUUACUUUAUUAACACUAGUGAUCAGAAACCUAUAGACCU
This 1166-nucleotide ribosomal RNA is filed under the name Triticum aestivum (bread wheat). Its description in RNAcentral is "partial small subunit ribosomal RNA". The record is from RNAcentral. Lineage: Eukaryota; Viridiplantae; Streptophyta; Magnoliopsida; Poales; Poaceae.